Podarcis lilfordi (Lilford's wall lizard) is the source of this 70-nucleotide non-coding RNA. NCBI's taxonomy places the organism in Eukaryota, Metazoa, Chordata, Lepidosauria, Squamata, Lacertidae. The record is from the annotation of a GenBank genome assembly.
GGGUAGCUCAGUUGGUUAGAGCGUGGAGCUUAGAACGCCUUGGCUGCAGGUUUGAUCCCCGUAAGGGACA